Molecule: long non-coding RNA, 8176 nt
Organism: Gallus gallus (chicken)
Lineage: Eukaryota; Metazoa; Chordata; Aves; Galliformes; Phasianidae
Exons: 3
Source: RefSeq, a predicted model, not a curated record
GGCGGCCGCCGGGCGGUGCGGGCGCCCUCACCUGUGGGCGCGGCGGGGGAGGCGGGAGCGCGGAGAGGGGCCUCACGGGGAGGGGGGAUAACACAGGGCGUUCGGGGGAGAAUUCCCCGCGUCGAGCCUCUAAGGACAUCGGCAUUAUGCGUCUUACAAAGCGUGAGGUUUAACAAAACGCGCUACACGGCUCAGAGCAGCAGCCUUUAGAGGUCACUAGAACAUCGCUGCAGUAUUUACAAAUUCUCCAUGAAGGAUUAGAAGUUAGUCUAAAGCCCUAUAUACACUAGAUACAGUUCCAGUGGAUGCUGUAUACUAUUAUCUAAAUUUCUUCACAUAGACUAUCAUGUAUCUGCCCCAGCAAAGCUGAUUAGUGAAGCAGCUUGACUCUGACAUAUCCUUUAUGCCAGCCACAAGCUGCCUUGCACAGCCACCUUAUUCACUGUGGAGACAGGCCUGCAGCAAGAUUGUAACACAACAAAUGCAAAUGAGAUGAGCCUUACACCACUUAAACCGAGAUGGCUAUAAUAUGUAACAGCUUAAUGUGCCCACAGAAGUGAUUGAUGCCCCUUCCGUAUCCCUAAAGAGCCGCCGUUUUGAUGAACUCUUUUUUAACUAAUAUUUCUUUUUGCUCCUCUCCCUGGCAAUGCCUUUCUCUUUAUCCUCAGCGUCGGGAAAAGAGGCGCGGAGCGAAAUAUUGAACAACUCAUCAAACUCAAUUGUCUCCCUCAAGGUCUUGCUUUAAUGAAAACAAAAACAGGGAGGAUCUCUUAACAAGCUCCAGGCAGUUUAUUUUGAAUAUUCCAGCGGAAGUUUGGCCCACUGUAAAGCAGAUACCACUAAUAAUAAGCAACAUUGCUUCCUAUCGAAAAAGACCACUGUAUGUGAUCUGACAGUCUUGGGACAAUGCGGUUUUAUCAUAGAAUGCUUCAGGUUGGAAGGGACCUUAAAGAUCGUCGUUUAAGGUCUGAAGGAACCUUUGCUUUAAGCCGAACAGACUGCAGCCCCACUGCCACUCUGCCUGCGUAGCAGAUAGCCACAAAUCUGGGGAAAAUUGUAAGACAAACCUAGCAUCCUUUAGUGGCCUAACCAAAUGCUGCACUAGCCUAACUGGCUAUACAUUUCUAAUCAGUAUUCAUUCCCUGUCCUUAAAAUAAACAGAAAACAGAUUUCUCCGUUUCCCCUAAAAUCAAUCUUUCGGUGUAUCUGUCAGUUGCUUUCUCCCAAUUAGUAUUCUAAAUUCAUUUAUUUUUGUCAUAAAUUAAUUUUUUUUUUACGUACCUUGGCACAAGUUUUUCAUUCAAUACUUGUGAGUAAUGUGACAGACUUAACGUUGUGUUGCUUAGCAGUAAUUAAAAAAAAAAAAAGUAACUUUGUUAAUGAAUUGAGAUGAAUCAGAAAACCGCCUUAUUAAUUAUUGCUUGCCUAGUAGGCUAAGCUUUGGCUCUUCACCUCACUGGCCCAGAGAACAUUUCUUGCCUUUGGCCAUGUCGGAGGGGCUCAUUAAAACAUCUCUUGGGAGCAGACAGAAAUUGUUAGUGAAAAGCAAUGGUCAGUGCCUCAGCUAGAACUCAGCAGGGAGGGGAAUCCCUCAUCACUGAGAGCUAACAAGGCUGUAUGUAUUACACCUGUAAUCAAACUGCUCCGAAAAUGCCAGGAGACCACUGGGCUCUCUUUGUGAUUGGUGAAGUUAUCUGAAAAUGCUGAAUCCAAUCCAUAAUUGAUGUGCACACAUACAAUUACAAGCCUCCAGAUAUCAGUUAAAAUGUUGCAGUUGCAGGCCUUAAGGAUUGGCAAACCUUAACAUGCAUGGCAUAAAAUAAGGUGUUUGACAUAAUAAAAGUGAACUUGCUUUGCUUCCGUGCACUGCCAGUUAAAUUUUAAUUGAAUUUGCUACAUUUGUUAACAGAUGUAAUUGUAGAAAACCUCACUGAAAAACAAUGGUGUAUGGAUGGGCUUGGGCAUCUUUUAGACAUUCUGUGAAUUAAUUUGUACAGUUAAAUUAUGAUCUACAUCACUGUUUUGCCUAAGGUAAGUAAAAUUUACUGUGAUAAGUAAAGUGACCUUGGGAUAUUGAAAUCUGAGAAUUUUACAUACCCUAAGCUCUGGGUUAUUAUAAGGUGGAAAAACUAGUACUUCUGUAAGUCUUGCGUGUGGGUUCUGGCUUCCCUGUGGUCUCCUAGGAAACUCGAAACUUUGAACAGUUUUCAAUAGUUGGCUUCCAAAUAAUUCAGCUUGUAGUAGAUGAGAAGUUUAAAUGCGAGCUAAAUGUGCUGACCAGACCAACUUAGAAUUUAGUGACAUAACAUCCUGCAAACCAACAUCUACAUUUACUGUAACUCAUCCAAGUCAGCCUCAGUACACGAGAAAGAAACCCUCUUCUGGUGCUAUAUAUGUUGUUACAGGUGAUGCUGAAGAUUACUCCCUUCUUGCUUGGAGGAAAGGACAGUGGGACAAUGUGUAGUGAUAGAACAAGAGGAGAAAGAGAAGGAAGUGGGGGUACAGAAACAGCAGACUGCACACCACAAAUACUUCUGGGUUACAUUCACAAAUUUAAGAUGGAAUAAUCAUUACUGCUGUUCAAGAAGGCUUCCCUGCUUUGUGUAGUUCUAUGAGUUUUUGCAAAUAGUAUGUAGACCUGUGGGCAAAUGCGAACCUCGUGUCUGUAACACUGAAAAAUGAUUCAUGAAACUACAUGAAGAACAUACUUUCCUCCGCUUUAUCUGGUGAUAGUUUAUGUCAUAUAUGACUACAGGGUAUUCUUCUAAACAUUUACAAGAGAAAGCUAAAAUUUUUAUCAGCCAUUAAUAAAUAGGAAUAGAUAGAAAACACAUAAUGCCUCUUUAUGGUGCCUCUGUCAGUAUUAUGACUGCUGUCCCUUACAUUUGCUAGGAGAAGCACUCCUCUUCCCAGCCUUAACUGCUUCAAAAUAUGUUGCCCAAACUGAGUUGUUCAGGCUCCCUCUGUAGAGAAAGAGCCAUGCCCAAAGGGAGAGUUAUCCCACCUCUCUUAGAGAGGAAGGAAGACUUCAGAUUUCAGAGGGAGCCCAGAUGAGCCCAGAGAAGGCCAAGGCUUAGAUAAGAUAAAUCUUGCCUGAAGUAGAAGGCCCUUUGUCUUUUAUUAUUAUUAUUAUUAUUAUUAAAAUUUAUUUUAUUAUUAUCUGUCCAAAACCUUCACAAAUAAAAUGCCCCCUUUUUUUUUUUUUUUUUUUUCUUUUCUGUCUGGAUUUUUGUUUUAGUUAGGUUUGGUUUCCUAUCAUCUUUUAAUUGUACCCAACUAAGAAAUAAAAGAAAUGGCGAGUGGGGAAGGAGAAAAGGUGCUGAUCAAACACAGUCUUGAGGGGCUGGGUUGAGAGGUGUAAAAGACUUCAAAUGCUUAUUGACAUAUAUUUGAAGGCACAUCUUGUUUUCUGUUUAAUUUUUUUACGUGAAAUUGAAAAGGGGAAAAUAUACGAAACCACAGACUCUGGCAGUUCCUGAGCUAGAAAAAAAAGUCAUUUUUUUCUUAUUAUUCCUAAACUGUAAGUCAGUUAUCUGAGAUGUGAUUUUCAAACUGUUGUCGCUCUGAAAUUUCUUCCUGUUAUUGUGUCACUCAAAUUAGAAGUAUAAAGAUCUGUUUGUUGUUAGCACUACAUGUUUGACUGGAAGCAUUAUUUACAGUGGUAGAAGUCCUUUUCUACAGGUUCUCUAGACACACAGAACAAAAAAGGCGGUUGCCACCCCCUAAGAGCAAAUGGCUUAAGUGCAUCAUCAAGUUUGUGACAAGACAUCUGUGGUUUAAUUUGUAGCACACUCCUGGUACUAAGAGGAUACAGAUACAGAGCCAAAUUCAUCCCAGAAUCACUGGCUACAUUCACAUCACAUGAGAUGUGAAUUUGACCCAUUGACUUCAGUGGUGUAAAUGACAGAUGCUGAGGAAGUGGACAAAAGUGGCUUUCCCCCACCUUUGCCCUCUCUGAGUUCCAGGGCUAACAGAGGCUUGUCUGUAUAAUUUAGAACACCUCAAGGCUGCUCCAAGCUCCACUGGCUUGUAACAGCCUCCAAGGUGCUUUUGUGCCACUGAGGGAUUCCCAGCACAUAUGCUCUGGCCAUGGGCCUUGCAGUGGGGCGUGGAGCAGAACGACAUCGCUGGCUCCACAGCCCUCAGAGGUUGCCCUGGCUCCCAGGCAAUCCUCUGCCUCUGUUAGGGCAGUUUUCCAGGAUGUUUGCACUGCUGGAGUCAGAGCCGUGCUCUGCUUGUGAAGUUGCAUCCUUGCCAUUCAGUGUUGAAAAGAUGAGGGCAUGCUAAUUUAUCACUCAUGUAAUAUUGCCAGCUCAUGCAAAGGUUUCUGCCACUUGUGAUUAUGGCCUAGGCAUUUGUAAGGGACUUGUGUCUUCUUUCUGUAGGUCUUUCUAUAAAUUUGCCCUGAAGAUGGUCCUACUUUUUGAGUUGUUGCCUAAUAUAUGUGUGUAUAUAUAUAUAUUGCAUACAUGUAAGUAUACCAUCUAUAUAUAUAUAUAAAUGUAUAUGAAUUUGUAUUCGUUUAGAAAACCCUGCUUCUAAUAAGCCUUGUAAUCAAAUAUGGGAUCAGUAAUAUCAGUUAUAAGUGACUACUAGUAUGCCAGGGCACAUGUAAUUAGCAAAGUAUCAAUAAUUGAUAUUUAGUAGGAAGAAAACUGACUGUUCAAUUACUAUAUCAAACUCAGUGAUUGUGUAUACUUGCGUGUGCAAUGCGCAUGCAUAUGCAUAUGCCUGGGUAUGUGUAACUUUCAUAAGUUCUGGUGCAUCAACCCUAAUGUGUGUACUCAUGCACUUGGUACAGUUUCAGAUCAAAACAAAUAGAGCCCCAAACGUAUCAUUUAAACUGUAGACAACUGAUGCUUCCAUCCUGUGGUCCCUGCCCUGAAUACAAGCAGGUGAGGAAUGGUGCUAAAUGCUUUUGAUGUUACCAGCUCCCAUUUGCCACCCAACUUCUUUCUUCUCCAAAACCUCUUAACAAACUUCAAAGGCCUCCUUGCUUCUUGCCUUAAUCCAGUGCACUGAGACCUCUAGUUCAAAGAACUUUCCUUAAACCCUCUUCUUAAACUGCAACCAAAACUUUUUCUUUCCUUUCCACAAAGUAGCAAUUACAGCUCUGUUGCGUGGCAAUUGGGCUUGGGCCGAUCAGCUCCUGCUAUUAAUUAAUCUCACAAAGGGGGCUCAUUUCCUGGCAUUCAAAUUGACAAGAGAGCAGAGAACAGAAAGCCCUUUCAAAGCAGUUCCAGUUAACUGAGGGAAGAGGUAUCAGAAAAAAAGAGCCCCACAGUAUUUGAGGUAGAGGGCACAUUUGAUACUGCCCAUGCUUGCUACUGAUUGAAUGAUUUUGUUGAGGAGAGCUCUUUACUAAUCUUUUACCUGCAAAAAGCUCAAGAGCAAGUAAAUGCAGCAGAAAUAUUGCUAAAUUGUGGCAAAGAGGCUUCACAGGCUAGGCUUUCGAUUUCACUCUCCCAGUGCAUCUUCUGGAGCAUUAUACUUACUUUAAACAGAAAGUGUUCACUUUACUAACACAGAAAAGCUCUUGGAAGAAGGGGGGGAGAUGAAGAGGCAAGAAAGAAGAAUAGCAGACAAGAGAUUAAAGCUUUUUAUUCAGUAUCUCUUUCGUAUUCAAAUUGUGCUAAGGGCUCUGUGAAAGUUAGAAGCAAGCUUGUUCAGGAGGGCUUCUAAAGUGUGUACAUGGAUUUCAUGGGAAUAGAAAAGAAGCCAUGGACUGGUUAAAAUAGCCCUCCUGACAGAGGCUAAAUAGUAUAAGAAAUAAUCAACCGCCUUCACCUGGGAAAAAGUCUGAACCUAGCCAGUUCUCUGAUGGAGACUUGACAAGUAACAUCAAACAUGGCCCAAGAACAAAGCUAACCAACCACGGCCUGAAGCAUCCUUCAACCAAAAGUCACCUUUAGUCAAGCUUUGCCAUCUAAUUUGCAGUGUUUCUGUUUGUACUCUUCAGGCAGAAGAACUAAAACUCUUACAGUGUAAAGCUCUCUUGGUUUCUGCUCAGUAAGAUUACAUUGAGGAUGCUGCAACUAUUUAACACUUUUAGCAACCUUUGGCUGCAGCCAUCCUGGUGUUCUCACUUCAGAAAUGCAGAUCCAAGCCCACUACCUUUUUCCUACUGUUUAUUUGUGUGUGUGUGUGUUUUAAUGUGUCCUGAAUAACACUGCUGUAAGACUCCAAUUUUAAAGUGCAACUUAAUCCCCUUCUGUGCCAGUGUCCUGAAACAGAGCUAAAUUACCUUCAUAGAUUAUUGUUUUUUUAAUUUAGUUGGGUCAAAUAGAUGGCAAUGCUAUAUCUCACUGAGUGAAAGACUGCAAUGACUUGUUUGCUUGAAUCAAAGUAAACAAAGACAGUAGACAGGUCCUUCUCUCAAGAGGAAAAAUCCUUACAAAAAGGAAUGUCACCAGCAAAAAUCAUCAACUCAUGGAGACAAUAAGAAGAGGAAAAAAUGAACCUUAUAAUACAGAGUAAUUUUCCACUUUGAAGGAUGGCCAUACAAACUCAUUAAGCAUAGCAUUAACAUUCAAGGCUUUAACAAUCAGGAUUUUUUGGGGGGGGGACUCUCAAAGAUCUCAUGAUUUUCUAAAAACUUGAAUCAUUAACUUGAGACCUAGGUGAUCAUUAAAAUAUGCCAUCACUUGCUUUAUUCAGUAUUUAACUGUCCUUCUGGAUUCACAAGUACUCAGAUAAAGGUUAUACAAAUUGUGUUUUGCUCUGUACAGAUUUCAACUCCUAAUACCACAUGAACCAACAGCAUUUGGUAAGAAGUUCCACUCUGUGUAUGACCCUCAGUGUCUGCUCUGAGUAGGCUGAAGUUGUGCCAGAGAUCUACUGAUUGGAUCCUGAGUUUUCCCUCUGAAGACUGGCUGCUGAGGAGGACUGUGAUAAGAACUACCAUACAGGAUAAUCCAAUAAGCCAAUGUUAAAAGUAUGCUGACACUCAAAGGCAAGCACCAGUCAUUUUUUAAAAACAGCUUUUCCAGAAAGCAAAACAAAACAAAAACCAGAGCCUUUUCUAAUUUUACUUUAUUUUAUUGAGUUAUGCUUCCUUUAUUAAGACUCAUGAUUUUUGGACUGCCUACUCUUCUCAAUUCUCAAAGGAAGAUUUGUCAGGAGGAAGACAGGGAAGAAAUUAAAGGGAAGGACAGUUUCUCUGUUGUAAAUGAAUUUUCUUUGUUCUUUACUUUUUAUGAUGGUCUUUAUAUUUAUAUUUUAUGUUGAUAAAAUACAGCUGUAAUUAGGAUUAUUCCUCUUCCUGCACUUCCUUCAUUUAUUUGUCCCCAUCUCCGAUUCAUUUUGUUUCUUCCUUCCUUUUAUGUAUCACUAUUUUUGCCUCUGCACUUCAAUCUCCAGUAAUUUAUGUCCCAGUGGAAUUAUAUCAGCUCAUCCUCAGUAGAAGAGUUCUAUGUACCCUUCAACAGUUACAUUAAAGACAAUAAAAUUCUUGGAUUUCAUAUACAUAUAUGCCAAUCUCUUUCUUGUGUGUUUGGCGUUCUGCCACAGAUAUUCCCUUUUUCAACAAAACACCUUCUCCAGAGUGAUUCCAACCAUGCCACAAAUAAGAUAGCUACAAAAAACUUAGGCUAAGACUUCAGACAGGGUUGCAUGUUGUAUGUUUCGAAUAUCUUAGCAAUAUCUGUCAGUACUUCUACCACCUUCACUGAAACAGAUAUAGAUAAUCUUUGAUUACAUUUACAAAAUAAUUGACUGUUCCCCUUGCUUCUAUUGUCUUUCCACUGUUCUCUAUUCUUCACAUCCUACUCCUCUCUAUUCUAUUCUUUUGCCUGACUAAUUUAGAUUGCAUGCUUUUUGAAGCAUCAUUCUUAUCAUUUUAUGGGCUCUGCUUAGCGCACAUGAACAAACUCCCAUCAGUUUGGAUGUGUAUCAGUUUGGAUGUAUAUAUAUGUGUGUAUAUGUAUGUAUAUAUAUAUAUAUAUAUGGGUGUCAUGUAAUGCCAGAAUUUACCUGUCUGCCUCCAAACAAUGUGAUUGUGCUGGUCUUCUGAAAUAAAAGUCCUUAGGAGACCCUCACAGAGAUAUAGCUUUAUCUGAGUUUCUUUAAAAGUUAAAAGCAAGUAUUUCAUUGUCUUUAACAGAAUAUAGAUUGGCUCUCAAACAUAAGAGAAAAUAAACAUUUUUAAAAUAAAACACAGCGGCAAAUGUGAAAGAAA